RNAcentral lists this non-coding RNA (21 nucleotides) under Caenorhabditis elegans. The record is from RNAcentral. Lineage: Eukaryota; Metazoa; Nematoda; Chromadorea; Rhabditida; Rhabditidae.
UAGUUUUCAAUCAGGUUUUGA